GGCUACCUAGCGCAAUGGUAGCGCGUUUGGCUUCGAUGCUUAACGGUUACCAAAAGGUUGCAGGUUCGAGUCCUGCGGUGGUCA
Transfer RNA from Hypholoma sublateritium FD-334 SS-4, 84 nucleotides. It matches the Rfam family "tRNA". Rfam says of the family: Transfer RNA (tRNA) molecules are approximately 80 nucleotides in length. Lineage: Eukaryota; Fungi; Basidiomycota; Agaricomycetes; Agaricales; Strophariaceae. The record is from Rfam.